Long non-coding RNA from Malaclemys terrapin pileata, 462 nucleotides. RefSeq lists it as uncharacterized. The transcript is spliced from 3 exons. Lineage: Eukaryota; Metazoa; Chordata; Testudines; Emydidae. The record is from RefSeq and is a predicted model, not a curated record.
GGAGCUCACGAAGACCAGUUUUCCGUACUUCACUGGCAGCCGGUCGUCAACCACCACAUCCACCCACUGCCCGUACUGCCAGAACUGGAGGGCUGGGCAACCCACCUGGAAAUGGAAGAUGCCAGCAUAGUCCUCCGGUGCAAAGCUUUGCCCCGUGGGUACCACCCUCUGCAUGAGCUGUGGGUAGAGAGUGAGAGACGCGGCUGCAGCCAGGAACCAGCAGUUGCCUGUUGGAGAGAGGCAGCAGCGUGGCAUCCUCCUGUCCUCGGGAGACUCGUGGGAAUUCGCAUCUUGCCUCUCCUCGGGGAGGGAGCCAGUGGCAGGAGGACCCCGGAGCCCUGCCUGCAGGGAGCAGUGACUGGCUGCGAAAGCAUCAGACCUACCUGUGGCCUCUUCCAUUCCAGCCCCUUAAUAUUCUCGGACCCAAGUCCGAGUUGCCAGUAUCCAAGUGAGCUGGGGACG